CCCUUCUGUCAACUUGGUCAGAGAGAAGGCCCUUCCCCGAGAGAAGAGGGCUAUCCCUCAGUCAAGGGCAUCUGAGGAGCUGGGCUCCCCUGCUGGAAGCUCUCAACAAGCUCUCCCAGAGAGUGAGCAUGGGACAGG
RNAcentral lists this small RNA (138 nucleotides) under Echinops telfairi (small Madagascar hedgehog). RNAcentral describes it as "7SK RNA (ENSETEG00000026818.1)". The record is from RNAcentral. Lineage: Eukaryota; Metazoa; Chordata; Mammalia; Afrosoricida; Tenrecidae.